AUAAUAACGUUGUUCGCAUGAACAACGCUUAAAAGAUGGCUUCUCGCUAUCACUUCUGGAUGGACCUGCGGUGCAUUAGCUUGUUGGUGGGGUAACGGCCUACCAAGGCGAUGAUGCAUAGCCGAGUUGAGAGACUGAUCGGCCACAAUGGGACUGAGACACGGCCCAUACUCCUACGGGAGGCAGCAGUAGGGAAUCUUCCACAAUGGGCGCAAGCCUGAUGGAGCAACACCGCGUGAGUGAAGAAGGGUUUCGGCUCGUAAAGCUCUGUUGUUAAAGAAGAACACGUAUGAGAGUAACUGUUCAUACGUUGACGGUAUUUAACCAGAAAGUCACGGCUAACUACGUGCCAGCAGCCGCGGUAAUACGUAGGUGGCAAGCGUUAUCCGGAUUUAUUGGGCGUAAAGAGAGUGCAGGCGGUUUUCUAAGUCUGAUGUGAAAGCCUUCGGCUUAACCGGAGAAGUGCAUCGGAAACUGGAUAACUUGAGUGCAGAAGAGGGUAGUGGAACUCCAUGUGUAGCGGUGGAAUGCGUAGAUAUAUGGAAGAACACCAGUGGCGAAGGCGGCUACCUGGUCUGCA
This 580-nucleotide ribosomal RNA is filed under the name uncultured rumen bacterium. RNAcentral describes it as "bacterial SSU rRNA". It matches the Rfam family "Bacterial small subunit ribosomal RNA", at positions 173 to 738 of the family's 1533-position model. The record is from RNAcentral.